GGACCCCAAUGCGACAUCUAGUGUAUAGAUCUAUGGUGUAACUGUCAGAAGCAGGUGGGGAAAAAACAAAACAAUAAACGUGGAAACAUCCUUCAUAAUUGCAAAUAGGUUUGUGAUUGACGAGUCACGUCUGAUGUAAAGGGAGAUAAUCUAAGUCAUUUCGGUCUGUAGGAUAUAGUUACUAGGUUUAAUAAUAUAAUCUGUGUUUUGUGGGUGAUCUUUAAUGGCGCGCGCUCAUUGAACCACGUGUGUGUCAGACAGGUGGAAGCAGCUCAUUUGCAUAUGGAACAGAGCUCAGCAGAGAAGAAACAGACAAUCGACUUUUCAGCUGCAGGAGAAAUCAUCUGUAAUGAAAAUGUCAGAGGAAUAACAUCUUAUGGACACCAACCCUGAAACGCAAGACUGAAGGAACCUACCGGCCGAGUGCAGAGGAGCAAAAACAAGCUGAAAGCCAGGAGUCAGAGAAACCAGGCCUUUCAUUGCCUCUGCCCAAAGAGGAGCGACUGAUCUGAGACCCUCCACCAGAGAAC
Molecule: long non-coding RNA, 530 nt
Organism: Tachysurus vachellii
Lineage: Eukaryota; Metazoa; Chordata; Actinopteri; Siluriformes; Bagridae
Exons: 4
Source: RefSeq, a predicted model, not a curated record